GUAGUCCACGCCCUAAACGAUGUCAACUAGUUGUCGGGACUUAAUUGUCUUGGUAACGCAGCUAACGCGUGAAGUUGACCGCCUGGGGAGUACGGUCGCAAGAUUAAAACUCAAAGGAAUUGACGGGGACCCGCACAAGCGGUGGAUGAUGUGGAUUAAUUCGAUGCAACGCGAAAAACCUUACCUACCCUUGACAUGGUACGGAUCUGCAAGAGAUUGCGGAGUGCUCGCAAGAGAACGUAUACACAGGUGCUGCAUGGCUGUCGUCAGCUCGUGUCGUGAGAUGUUGGGUUAAGUCCCGCAACGAGCGCAACCCUUGUCGGUAAUUGCCAUCAUUUGGUUGGGCACUUUACUGAGACUGCCGGUGACAAACCGGA
RNAcentral lists this ribosomal RNA (377 nucleotides) under uncultured bacterium. RNAcentral describes it as "bacterial SSU rRNA". It matches the Rfam family "Bacterial small subunit ribosomal RNA", at positions 790 to 1167 of the family's 1533-position model. The record is from RNAcentral.